Molecule: non-coding RNA, 2203 nt
Organism: Nerophis lumbriciformis (worm pipefish)
Lineage: Eukaryota; Metazoa; Chordata; Actinopteri; Syngnathiformes; Syngnathidae
Source: RefSeq, a predicted model, not a curated record
GUCAUGUGUGAGUUGGUUGCCCCAUGGAUUGCACCACAUGGUCUGGUCUUCCGUGCCUACAAACCAGGUGUGACAUACCAAUAGUGAUUACUGUGAACAGAACAGAACAAAGAAGAACAGGAGAAGAAACUUCCGAGAAUCAAGGUGAGCUAAAUAUAAUAUCUUAUUUCAGCAUGCUUGACCCUAGCUGAGUUCUUUUAUGGUAAAAGGUGGACAAAGCAUUUGUUUCUUGUUAUGUUUUGUUCGUUUGCUUAUUUGUUUGUUUUCUUGUAGAAAACAAACAAACAACUUGUAUUGUGGUCAAACAAUACAAUACCUGACAAAGCUCUGCUGAGAGCUGCCAUAAAAAAAUAGGUUACAAUAUAUCUGCACAAUUAAUCUGAAAUCAUCCUAAAAGGUUAUCGUAGUUGUUAUUUUAAUGAAAUAUUAUAGUAUAAAUUGUCAAUGUUAGAAGGAGCUUUAACGUUGUCGGUAGCGGCGUUGCGGUCGCCAUCUAGCUCGUCUUUGGAGGGAUGGGUGGGCUGGUGAGCACCAUGGAUCUAAUAUAUCCAUGUUGAGCACACACUAAUGUGCGGGUAGGAGGAGCAGGGAGACUGGGCUUGAGCUUGGUCUCCAACAUAGUGGUAGCAGAAAGAUAACACAAGACGAAGGUUACAGAUAGGAUGAUUCUUCCAUAUUAUAUAACUUUUUAAAAAACAUGUACACCUCAUCUUAAUGGUUACCUCUUACUAUAUUGCUUGUCAUUUUUCUUGAAUGCAUAUAGGCUCAGGAGAGUGAAGAAUGUAGAGAGGAUGGAAGGAGCAUUGAAGCUCAUACCAAUUAAAUGUCUACAAAGAUGCUUAAGGUGCACCCAGAUCUGAACUCUUUAAAGGAGAGAAUGAGACGAACCUAUGCAUACCGAAAGACCUUCAUGGCAACUGCCAAGGCAGAGGAAAUCAUCGAAAAGUUUCUCGCACUGAAGCUUCCUAAAAUACUUCUGUGGGAGAUGAAGGAGCAAUUCCUUGUAGAAGCUGAUCGCAGAAUGGUCACAGAGCUGGUUCGAAUGGCAACGAAGAUGGUUCAAAGAGCAUCUAUGUGUGACCUAAAGGACUGCUGCCAGAGGGCAAUCAAUGCCUGCCUGGAUGAUUCAGUAAGACAAGGUAUCUAGGCCUGUAUGUGUAUCUAUAGGAGCCACAAUCUGUAUUUCUGAAAACAAAAAAUAUUACAGAAUAAUUUUAUUUCCUCAGGACUCAUUAGGGAUGCAGCAAUUCUACUGCUGCCUUCCAUUUUCAGAGAGGACUCAUCCUUUCUAUACACUCUACUGGAGGAGCCAUAGGUGCCUACUCCAGCAACCAUGCUCCAUAACACACACGAGGGGAACCCUUUGCAGGCACAAAGGAUAACCCUAUACCUGGAUGGUAUACAGGUUUUGACUGAGGACAGCAGCAUGGACAUAUCAUAUGCUAUGAGUGAAUUAAUGUCACUCUAUAUUGUUUUUGCUGUCCAGUACCCAAAGGAACUGAGAAAAACUCUUAUUUUCAUUGAAAGAUUUGUGUUGGGGAUCAAGGACCACAGUGUUGUACCCAUUUCAGUGAAGAGACUAUACAACUGUGUCACUGGGGAGUAGUGAGUAGAUGUGUUGCAGCAUGGGAUUUCAUGCUUUAUGUUCUUGUUAAUGGUCAAAUUCCUGCUGCUGCCCUUUGUUUGUACAUAUUGAUAAAAAAAAAAAUCCCUUAUUUAAUACAUAUUUUGGACCAAUACAUUUUGUUUGAUUUUGGCAUAGUGACGUCUCUAGAUUUCCAAUAUUGUUACAAUACGUAACAUUUUGAGUACUUAUUACAUAACACUGAAAAGUAUUUCAACAUUAUUUAAAUCAAUGUGAAAACUUUGUCGGAUUUCCUCACUUUCUCAUGAUUCUGUUCCACUGUCACAAUUAGUACAUACAGUAUGUACACUGAUUCUUUUCAUUGGACCAUGCAUUAUUUUAUUGUUUGUAGAUAGCUUACAAUAAGGCGCAGUAAAUGCAGUAAGUGCACCUUGGAUUGAUUGAACUAAAACUAUUUUGUGUCUCUUUCUGCCAUGUCACCAUUGCUGGAGAUUUAUUUACACAAAUUCACCUAAUGAGGACAGCAUGAUGUGUCUGGCCUGUCAUGUUGCUGAUCCCACUGGACCUAUGCUGACUUUUGACCUGUUCUCCCCUGGGACCUACACAGCCUCUCCUGUU